Molecule: long non-coding RNA, 1599 nt
Filed under: Paramuricea clavata
Lineage: Eukaryota; Metazoa; Cnidaria; Anthozoa; Malacalcyonacea; Plexauridae
Source: RNAcentral
AUGUCAUUGUUUUCAUUCAGUGUAUAGUUUACAUACUUAAGAGUAAAAUACACUUCCUAACAGAAAAUUCUGUUCCUAUACAUAAUCCUCCGCCAUACGUACGCCCCUCUGUGUGGAAGCCCAUUUUGUGAUGGAAGAAUACGUUGUUUUUAAAACGAAACACUGUCCGAGAUAAAAACAUCUUGAGUAAUCCAUUGCAUGGAUUACAGAAUACAGAUAUUUCACAGCACACUCCCUAUCAGGGCUUUUCAGUGACUGGUUAGUGGUUACAUUAUGAAUAGAUAAAUAAAACCGGACUGACGUGAAGCAGACCGAGGUAGACUUUGAGCUUACAAAUGGCGCUUGAGCAGUCGCUAUUAGUCCAUACCUCAUUAAUGAUCUGCCUCCAGACCCAUGUGCCUAACCCACCCAAACAAGAUUAUAGUCAGCUACAGUUUGUGACUGGCAAUGAAAACUACUUAUUUUACAAUGGCUGGCAAUGAAAACUACCUAUUAAUAAUUAUUACAAUUUAUAUUGCGCUAAUUUCAUAUAUGACAUGAUCAAAAGCGCAUCACUGACAAGAUUUACAAUGCCAAUUGAUCACAUUUGCCUUGAUUUCAAUUAAGCUAUUGUUUCGUGUGCAACUAAGCAAGUUCGGAAAGUGUCUAGUGGAAUGCAAUACAAUAUGAAUUAAAAACUAACCUAUUAAGUUAAUUAACAUAAAGGGUCCUAUUCAAUUGAGGUCAGUAUUCGGCUUUUCAAUUCCUACAGUAAAAUAUUCACAUGAUUUCUAAUAACAUAAAUCAGUUCAAAGCAUAGUCUUUCGAGACAUGGUCUGGAAAGUCAGUAAACUUCAAAGCGGUUAUAAUGAGCUGUGUGUUUAUGUUGAGCCGUAACUUACACCGUGCACAUCCUUUGUUUUAGGUUUAUUAAUUUAAAUAGCAUGGUUGAAUGACUGACUGAAACGUUGCUAUUGGAUGAUUCGCUUAUUAUACUGAAAUACAAUGUGUUCAUUGCGCAUGACCGUGCACCGUGCACAAAACUGCAUAAACGCGAACAAAAAGAUAGAACAAAGACUUUAGCGGAGUUCCAAACCAUGUUUUGAAAGACUAUGUUCAAAGUAAUAGUUCAUAAUAAAAUAAAUAUGUACAUAUAUGAAUUACUAGCUUAUAAGCGCAUUAAUUACGACUAGAAGUCCAUAUGACCAUAUCAUUAAUAGAAAAAAAAACACAACUAUAAAGAUAUAUACUGUAUCGAUUUUAUUUUCUAAAAUCUUGGAAAAAGGAAUAUUUCUUUGUAUUUCUAACUGUUUUAACAUCAAAGAUUCGUGGCCUUUCAUUUGUUCCUGUGCUGAGGCUCAGGCCAAACGACCAAUUUUAAUUUUUCAAUUAGUAACUUACAGUAUUGUACCCUGGUUCCAGAGGCGCUUUGCGAGGCGAAAGAAACGAGAAGCGAUAACGGAGAGCCUCUGGUCAUAUCGAUUGCAAAUCCCACUUCCACACCAACCUCGUUCCCAGGCUUUUUCUUCCACACAUGAUUACGUUCAGAAUUUGAAUCUCCCAUGUGAUCGGCCAUUUGUAAAAAUUGUAAGCUAAUUAUAGCCUUAAAGGCCAUGUAAA